AUCUCCUACUGAAAAACUCUCUCUAAUCUCUGUUUCUCCUAAGCUCUUCCUAGUUCAUCUUCUCUCGGACUUCAGUUUCUCCCGCGGCGGCUCCGUCACAUCAACAACACAGCCACAGCCACAGCCACAGCCACAGCCAUAGGAAAGUCGUAGGCCGGCAGCCCUCACGUAUGCCCGCGACAGGGACACUCCUCAGUCAACCACAGUCCCAACCGUAGUGAGAUACUGAAGUGAAAGAAAAAGAGGUCAAGAGUUUGCUGAAUUAAAGCUCUUACAUUGUAUUGGCAAUUUCUGAGCACAAAGAUCCAUUUGAAUUAAAAUACAGUGAUUAGAGAGAUGGAAGGAACUAGUGGCACUGAAGACGUGCAAGGAGGAAGCACUCAAGGAGCCAGGACAACCAAGAAGGAAGAUCCGUUGAUACUAUAGUCAUCAGAUCAUCCUAGAAUGAUUUUAGUAUCAACACCACUGAAACAGAAACAACUACUUGGCAUGGAACAGGGCUGUGAAGAUAGCUCUUGGAGCCAAGGUGAAGUUGGGUUUCAUAGAUGGGAAAUGUGAGAUGCCAGAAGAGGGAUCAGAGGAUUUUGAGAAAUGGAGUAAGGGUGGAUUGCAUGGUGCAAUCUUGGAUACUCAACUCCAUUACUAAAGAUAUUGUGGAAGCUUUCUUAUACACCAGUACAGCCGAAGAACUAUGGCAGGAGCUGGAAGAACGUUUGGAGAGUGCAAUGGUCCACUGUUGUACCAAUUGCAAAGAGAGAUUCUUCAGUCUCUCAAGGGAACCAGACUGUAGUCCAGUACUACAACAGAUUGAAGAAGCGUUGGGAUGAGUUGCAGUGCGUACAACCUAUCCGUCAGUGCAGUUGUGGAGCAGCUAAGCAACUAGCAGACUACAAUUUCUCUUGAGUAGAAAAACAAAGAGGAAUUCAGAAUGUUUAUACAAAAGGUUCAGAAAAUGUGGCUAUGAUGGUUUAUAAUCAACAUGGUAAGAAACUAAGUAAUGAUACUAAGAGUACUAGUAAGGAGAAGGGAGGUUCUAAAAGGGUUGACAGAUAAAAUCUUCGUUGCACACAUUGCAAUUUCACUAGCCAUACAAAGAAGACCUGCUUCGAAAUCCAUGGUGUACCAGAUUGGUACAAAGAUCUCAUGAAGUCAAGAGGAAAACCUGGAUUCAAACAAAUAGCAAAUCUGGCAGAUGCUACUCUAGAUUCAGAAGCUACCAAAGAUGAUGGAGUGUCACUAGAGCUGAAUACAAAGAUCCAGGAUCUAAUACAAUAAGAAAUGAGCAGGUACAUGAAAGGUAAAUGAGUAGCAGAAAGCAGUAUCGUUAAUAUGGCUCACUUCCAUGAUUUUGCUGGUAUGUGCAAUGAUUUAAAACUUUUGCAAAACCCAGACCCAGUUAAGACCAUAACCCCUGUAUAUCUUCCUGAUGGAUCAAUAAAGCUGGUUCGUCAUACAGGAGAUGUGCAUAUCUCAAAUAAACUAAUACUCACUUUAGUUUUAUAUAUACCAACAUUUCAACAUAAGUUUUUGUCAAUUAACAAACUAUCUGAACUUUCACUAAUCAAAUUUCUAUUUUAUCCUAACCAUUGUAUACUGCAAGACCUGCAGAAUGAGAAGAUUCUAGCAAUAGGCAAAGUCAUUGGAAGGCUAUACAUUUUGGA
This is a long non-coding RNA of Carica papaya (papaya), 1661 nucleotides long. RefSeq lists it as uncharacterized. The record is from RefSeq and is a predicted model, not a curated record. NCBI's taxonomy places the organism in Eukaryota, Viridiplantae, Streptophyta, Magnoliopsida, Brassicales, Caricaceae.